GAAGAAAACUUUUAGACAUACCUUAAACUUGUUGAGUCCUUAAUAUCUUCCAAGCAACUCUUCAAACAACUCAACUCAGUCUACCAUAGAAUAAGGAGAUUCAAAUUCAAUACUGAGUAAAGGCUAAGUAUGUAACUUAAGCUAGUAGCUCGUUUUAUGUAAAUUUGGGUAGCAUAUCCAUUGUAACAAGGGCCUCCUCCAAUGCCAUAUACUAACAACAAAAACCAUAGCAAUGCAAUAAGAACAACAUCAACAGUAGGGUACAAAAUAUUUCAUUAACAAGUCGUCAACAUAUCACGACGAGCGGCAACCUCGGAUUGAAUCCCUUCAUCACCCUUCAACCCCAUUAUCACUCCUUAUAGACUUCUUACAUUAACUUAACAUCAUCAUUAAAAUGAUAAUGAAUCCAUUCAUCAUUGAUUCCAUCCUUAUACUAUAUAUUUAUAACAAAGAAAACAAUUCACAACUCCAACUAUCUUCAAUUAGCAACUUUAUUCACUAGUUCAUGUCUAGUACAUCCAUUUAACUUAAUCAACAUCAAUAUAACCUUAAGUACAUGCAAGAAAACAAUAAAAAUACCUCCUAUAGUAGCUUCAAGUCGUAAUCUAAGUUAUAUUUAGCUUACAACAUCCCUCAAUGACAAUACGACACUAUAGAAGUGACUUAAGCUACUCCAAGUAUUAUCUUGUAGUUUAUCAUCCUAACAACAUAACUAGCAUAUAAGAAAGCUUAAGAACAAUAAGUAGUCUAUUAUAAUCACCUUAUCUAGUAGCAAAAACUUGAAAUUUUAGCCAAACACAUCCCACAACUAUCCUCAAUGACAACGCAACCUCAAAAAGGUGUUGUUCUUCACUAGAACUAACUUUUGAUGUUGAAAUAUGGUGUAAUCCAUUUGCAAGACUUGAAAUAAUAUAGGUUUGAUAUGAAAACCUUUGGAGAGUAUUUUAAAGAACUUAAACCACUUAAAAAACCUCCCACAUGAGCUGGAACCACCCAAAAAUCAGCAAUAAUAAGAGGAACAAGCAACUUACUAGUGCGAGGGGAUUUUCGACACUUGAUUUGUGUUGUUUGCCCUUUGUUUGGGUCUUGGUUCAUGAGAGAACCUUGAGAGAGUGUUUUUAGGUAUAUAGAGUCUGAAGAUACUCAAAAAUAAUGAGUUAAACCGGGGUUGAGGUGUCUUAUAUAUAUCAAUAUAUCUCAACCGCCAUUGUGGGUCCUAUAGAGAGUUGCUUGGCGUAGUCUCGCAAAAAUGCGAAUAUCUCUCUACUUCAAUGUCAUAUAGACAAACGGUUUAAUGAGUUAGAAACUAGACUCAUAGAUAUUCAAUUUUGUAGGUAGAUCACCCCAUAAUUUGAAGUAAAUUGAGAGAACAACACAUCUAAAUUUCAGCACAUUUAUGAAUGUAACUUUACCAACUUUUGUUUCACAACUUGCUUGACUUAAAAACAUAACACACGACUAUCAUACGAAUAAAAUAAAUCAUAACAUAACCUCCUUAUCUUGCUAAUCACCCAGUCACAUCACAAAAGUAUACGUUAUAACAUUCCCAACUUGUCGACAUUUGACGAAACUUAUUUUCUUCUAUUUGUUUAGCUUCUUAUCCUUUCAACCCUCAUGGUACUUGUUAUCCAUGAUCUUAAAGAUUUGUAAUCUCCAAGGUAACAUGAUUAACUUACUUUGUAUACUCUCAAAGAUGAUCUCAUUUUUGAGCUUACAUCAAUUGACUUACGAAUACUCUUUUGUAUGAAGGUAUAAGAUGUAACAUGAUUCCCUCCUUUGGAACAUUCGUCCUCAAAUAUUGACUGAUGUGCUUAUCAGUCUCAUAACCUAUAGCUCUUGCAAAUACUUUACUCCUGCCCUUUCCACCUAGGCAAUUGUUCAGUGAAUUAAUCCAAAGGCCAGAACAUUCCCCCCCUUUAGGAAUCUUUCUCACACCAUGACUUGCGGUUGGAAUUAUUCCAAUCUCGUAACUGUUGCUAUCUUAUGUCAUGCAGCAUGUAUGACAUUGUCCUUAUGUGCGCCUAUGUGACUCUUCUCUCAUUUUUCCUUCAGCUUGUAGCCAAUCUCUAGGCCUUACUUUGUGAACAUAUACAAAAUUAUGACAAGCUUUCUCUCUGGGAAUCUAUAGGUGUACUAAAGUUUUUUACUCAGGUACUGUCAAACUUACGACUAUUGCUAUAUCUUGUUUCAUAGCCUUGGUUAGUUAUGCUUAUGGCUUUACUAUGUAUAUGUAGUUUAUACUAUACCACAACACUUACUUUGAUUUAUUAUGGCCAAGGUCUACUAUCCAACUCCAGGUUACUCUCUCGUUGUUUAUCUUAUAUGUAUAAAUUAAGUCCCUUAAUGCUUCCUCAUUACUAUUCAUCUUAAGAAUGACAGCCUAAUCUCAUCUCACACUUUGGAACAUUCAUCCAUCCAUUAUUGAUUCACCUUAAUAUUGAUCUAUAAUCUACCGCUGAUCACUUGAAACCUCUCAUGUAAUAUAUUGUCACUAGGGCUCACAUCUCAUUUGGGAACAUCUGGAGUUAUUUGCCUAGUCCACUUAGGGUUAAUAAUAUACUUCAAUAAUUGUAUUUCAUAGCAUCCCAACGUAAUUCAUAUUAUGGGGGUAUUUUAAUCUUGUACAAUUUAUGAAAUCCCUUUUCUUUGAAUCAUUACCCAAUCAAAGGCAUAAACGUCAUCCUCUUAUCUAUCACAAUUACACCCUUAUUUUACCACUAGGGCAUCAUUCCAUCUCUUCUAAAUUCUCCUAUUCUUAAACUCCUCUGAGUACAAUCAUGUUAUACUGAGCUUUUUAUAACUUAGGAAACCAUCAGCUCUCUUGUUGUGAUGGGUUUAAUCCCGAUGACUUACCUAUUCUCGUCACCUUCUCACUAACUUUUUCUUAUCCUUACUCCUGUCUACCUAAAACUUUGUUGCUCUACCAUACUUUAGCUUGCGACCUACAUAUAUCUAUUUAUACUAGUCGCAACCUUCCUUUAAUUUGCUAGCGCCAUAGAUUUCCUUAUGUUAUUCUGGAACCUCGAGCAAAACAUCAUAUCGUCUCUAACUCUUCUGUACUCUCUUAACUAGACCUCUCUGUACCUGGAAACCAUAGGCUGGAAGAUACGCCACUGACGACAACACUAUUAUUUCUUGAUACAGAAAUACGACGCUUCCAGCCCUCUAUCUGAUAUUUGGAUUAUUCGUAGCCUUCUGUACUUGGGCAUCUCUUACCUUCUUCACUUAUACCUUACUUACCUUUAAAUCUUGCAUCAUAUCUCCUAUCUCUUUCAUAACCUCCCUUCCAUAUAGGUGGAAUUCACAUCCAUACCUUAAAGCUCUACUAUAAUACUUGCACAUCAUGUGCAUACACAAUCAGGCGAAGGCUUCAUACUAACUUCUUAUGAGGUUGUUACUGUUCUAACUAGAUUUAUCGUAGAGCCAUUAUAGAAUAUGGUUGUUGCACUAUCUCUUUUGUACCUCUGAUAUUUAGAGUGAUGCUACAAUGUUCUGAAUCAUGAUUUCUAUACUCAUCGGGAUUUAAUAAUCAGACUUCUAAUUCACUUAGCUGGUGUAACUCUUUAGUUUCCUCUUAUAUCUCAGCCUUUAAAUAGGCUUACUUUAUCUUCUGAUCUGCGGCUUGGGGUAUUAGUUAUUACUUUAUCCCCUCGUGGGUUCUAUGGAACAUCCAUGAUAUAACUUUCUAGCAAUUCAAGCUUUUGUCUGUGACGUGGACUCAAUUAUUUCUUUUAACUUAUACUGCAGUAUCCUAUGGUUGUUCAUUAUCAACAUAUAUGUUGCAUGGAUAACACUCUAAAAUCUUAAGUGUGUUUAUAACGUAACUAACUCUGGGUCAUAGAUCGAAUAAUUCCUUUCGUGCCUUCUCAGCUUUCGUUAAAAGUAGGCAAUUACUUUUCUUGGUCGUUCUGCCACUUGUUGCAUGAAUACUUGGCUUAUCUUAGUGCCCAGAUAUAUUGCAGUGAGAUGUUGUAGUGAAUAUAGGUAUAUUGCAGUAAUAUUACUUUGGAUUUUACUUCCCGUUCCUUAGUCACAAUAGGUACCACUUUCUUAUAGAGUGCAUACGAUGUUGCAGUGAGACUAUUGUUACAAGACGAUUAUUUAUUUAGGUCACUAUGAUUAGUUUGAAGCCUUCUUCCUUAUUUCUUCAUCUAGUCUUUCAUUGUAGCAUUUAAGGAAGAUUCUCUUACUCUUGUAAAGCUGUGAGCUUAUCCCAUCAUAUACCUAAUGGAAUUUUUGAUGUUCUUACUCACCUAUAAAUAUUCUUAGUUACAUACCUUCGUGCCCUUGUUCUCGUAGGGUUAUUUAUGAACUCAGAUUUUUUUGUCUCCCCCGUGGCACUCUCUUUUGUUUCUGUAACACUUUUAUGGAAACUAUUACUACCUCAACUCCUACCUAAAUAUUUCUCAAGGAUUACGAUGUUGUAUCUACGAAACUGAAUUCCCUAUGCUGGGGUUCACUAGGUUUAUCUUGCAUGAUCUACUAAUUUAUAUGUAUCCUCUUGUCUAGCCAUAACUAGGCUCUUCCUGAAUCAACUACUAACUAAUCGUUGGUCCAUUCUCAUACCUAUAUUCUGCGUAAUCUCUCUUGGGUUGUUUCCUUUGUCUUAACUUACCUCUCGCACUGGACCCUUAUGUAUCAAGUGUUCAUUCGCACUUAUUUAUCAAUAGCAUCAUGGGAGGGAACCCUUACUGCAUUUCCCAACCAUCAUGCUUGUAUAAUGUUUUGGAGUCAUAACAUAUAUGUACGAUCUGAAUAAAUACAAUCUCACCCAUUUCGUCUUUUAUCGCAUUCUUCCUUUACUAGUCUAUAGUUACUUCCUCAUCUUUGACAUCUUUUCACAUCUUCACUGACUCUUACUCGCCUUGCGGUAACCCUUCUAUACCGGGGAUAACUUAAUUUCUUAUGUGCGAGGGUGACACCUAGUAUAACUGGCACAUUUAGUCCCUUAAGCAUAACUCUGCUCACAUUGCUUGCUUUAGGGAAGCGUCUUCCUGAAUGACCUUUAAAGGUUAUUCUUCCGUUGUCCAUUCUAUCAUUUACGGAACACGAUUUCUGAAAUUCUGAUGAUACUGACUAUUAUAGAAUCCUUUGGUCCCUAAAUCAUGUUCGAUUUUCUUUCUUGUUUACUAGCCUAUGUUGAUUUCUAUUACUCCGGGGGGUCUAACUUAGCCUUCUGGUAAUUACGUUGGAGUCACCAACUCAUUUUCUCAAAAUGAGGAUAUGACUUUAUGGUUUAUACUCUUUUAUAGUCUCAAGGCAUGUCAGCUCUUGUCUUUUCCUUUACCUGACUAUAGACUAUUGUCACACCUCCUUUUGCUUACCCCCCGGAAGAGUGUAUAUAAGAGAGCUUUUCCAAUUAAAGGACAAUCGAAAUGAGAUUUAUUUAUUUAAAGAUUCAGAGUCGCCACUAGGGAGAUUUAUGGUGUCCAAAGUCACCGGUUCAAAUCCCGAAUCGAGGAAAAGGAUUGACUCUGUUUAACAGUUCGCGAACCAGAAAUCCGAGUAAGGAAUUUUGUUAACCCGGGAGAAGGUGUUAGGCACUCCCGAGUUCCGUGGUUCUAGCACGGUCGCUUUGAUUAUACUUGGCUUACUAAAUUGUCUAAUUACUUAUUUUUAAACCUAUGUGCAUCUACCCCGUUAACCGUUUUUAUUUGCUUAAUUACUAUUAAUUAUGGAAUUAUCUUUAAAAAAUGAGUCACGCGUACGUGUACUCAUUUCAUUUGGCGCGUCAAAAAUUGUGUCACACGUACAUAUCCACAAUUAAUCACGCCUUAUUAUUAAUAAGAUUGUUUCACCCAAAAUUGCGCGAACACAUACCUUGGUUUUAAUUUCUGGAAUCGUAACUAUGUCACGCGAACGUGUACACAACCACGAUAAUUUAUUAAUUAGAUUAGUGCCUAAAGCAUACUACUGUGCUCUUCAGCACAUUAGGUUAUUUAUGAGUGUUUAACCCACUUUUAGUGAUAAAACUAGCUACAUGGCAACUGCAACUUAGGAAUAUACUCAUAUGAGCCUUACAAGAAUGUGGUCAACUCUUUUAAAACUUCAAGCAUGAAAAAUCAGUACCAAUAUCAACAUUAACUUCACCUUAAUUUAACACUUAAACUAGAUAUCACUCUGCCUCAGAUCAAUCAUCGCAAGGCAUAUGUUUGCAAAGCAUAACGUAGUUACACAUACAAGCACAUUAAAGUCUACAAUUAUUCAACAGAUGAAAGUAAAAGGCAAAUUCAUAAACAACAACCUAUAUUAGUAAAAAUAGUUACUGGAGUAACGUUCAUGUGUGUAUCAAAGUUCUAAUAACUCAAUAUAAAGAAGCAAAUAGCUAACAUUUCCUCAACAAAAACCCAAUUUUUUGGUUUGCAAAACUCGAAAAAAAAUGUGUAGUAGAUAAAACUAGUCAUUUACAAAGUAACACGUACCCUUUUUCUUUUCUUGGAGGGCGUGAUAGCAGAAUUGGCUCUACUGCUUCAGUAAUUAGUCUUUUUCAGCAAAAUACGAAAACAACGAGAUUCUAGCAAGGACCACGAACGCGAUUUUGACCGGAGAACCUCGACCACAAACUCGACAAUAACCUCGACGGACCUGACACGGCGACCUGAACAGAUUCACUCGACAUGGAUUUGGGUAGCGAUUUCGAGCUGACUUUCGCACUGAUUUGGGUUAGUUUCAGGGAGUUUUGGAGCUAGGUUUACCUCUAGGUUCGAACCCGGUUCGCCGGAUUCUAUGGCAAGUCGUCGGAAUCACACAUUUCUGGUCAGAUUUGGUUUCGUCUAUAUGUGCGCCCUACUGUUUCUCGACAACAAAACGGGGAAGGUUCGUGGGUUGAUUUUUCUGGUUUUCAAUCGGGGGAGAGGAAGCAGCAAUGAUGGGUUCUUCGGCGCAGGUCUUUGGUCGUUUGGAGAAGACGAUGGGCAGGGGGGUCUCUUGUAAAGGCUGCGCUGAUUUUACUUUUUAGCUUUUUGUCCCUUUUUUGUUUUUAGCCUUCUACGUUCUUUUUUAUUUAUAUAGUCUAGGUUUUUGGUAGGGUUUUAGGUUAAGGGGUAUGAGCCU
Molecule: long non-coding RNA, 7053 nt
Filed under: Nicotiana tabacum (common tobacco)
Lineage: Eukaryota; Viridiplantae; Streptophyta; Magnoliopsida; Solanales; Solanaceae
Description: long non-coding RNA (NTAB_LNC006674)
Source: RNAcentral